This 71-nucleotide transfer RNA is filed under the name Marmota monax (woodchuck). RNAcentral describes it as "tRNA.Ala". The record is from RNAcentral. Lineage: Eukaryota; Metazoa; Chordata; Mammalia; Rodentia; Sciuridae.
GAGGAUAUGGCUCAGAGGUAGAGUGCUUGCUUAGCAUGUAUGAGGCACUGGGUUCCAUACUCAGCACCACA